This 33931-nucleotide long non-coding RNA is filed under the name Gossypium raimondii (Peruvian cotton). Its description in RNAcentral is "long non-coding RNA (GRAI_LNC007294)". The stretch from base 1627 to 1771 matches the Rfam family "MIR7502 microRNA precursor family". Lineage: Eukaryota; Viridiplantae; Streptophyta; Magnoliopsida; Malvales; Malvaceae. The record is from RNAcentral.
AAAAACAGAGAGAGAGUCUCUAAGAUUCUCUCAACACUCUCAGCCCUCAGAAUUUGGCGAGGACCCAGUCACCGGAGCACCAGCGGCCGCCGCCGUGCACGGCGGUAGGACGCCCAAAGUUCGUCGCCUUUCGGUGAUUUCAAAGGUACACCUCUUUUUCUUAUUUUAUUUUCGUGUUAAAAAGAAACAAAACAUAAUAAAUAAAUAAAAAAUGGAAAAGAACAAUCGGGGAAGACUAAAAAACAACUCUCAAACUUUCGUUUUCUGUUUGUUUUUUUUAUUUUCGUUUUUAAAAAAUUAAAAAAAAACAACAAUGAAAGUAAAGAAAAAGGAAAGAUUCAAGCAAAAAAACUAGGAAAUCACCUUAGUUUUUUUUUUCUUAGUGUUCGUAAAGAAAAGAAGAAGAGCCAUACAAGGAAGAGAUUUUCGGCUUUUAUAGCCGAUCUACACAACUUUUAAUUUCUAUUUCUUUGUGUUUUUGCUAUUUGUUUCUUCCGUUGUUGCGUGCCUUUUGCAUUCAAUUUUUGCAGGUGUCAGAGCAUACGGAGGAAAGGCGGCUAGGAGCGGCGGUAGCCAGGCAUGGCAGAGGAGGCGAAACGGCGUUGAGGCUGGAGCCUGGGCAUGCGGGGCAUGCGGCGCAUGGAGGCUUGGGGGCUAGGGUUUGGUACUGCUGAAUGGGGUUAAUUUUUGGGCUAGGGUUUCUUAAUUUGGGCCUGUUGGGUAUUUUGGGCCACUGUUUAUUUUGGACUGUGUGUUUUUUUGCUGGUAUUGGGCUUUAGUGUUUUGGGCCCCGGGCAAAAUUUGGGUUUUACAUGAGUAGUUUGAUAUUCUGAUUCAAUCUUGUUCCGAAGAGCUUCAGUAGAGAUCUCGUCCAGGAGGUCCUCGGCAUCAUAAACAGCAUCUUUGAGCUCAUCGGUCCAACUUUUGACAUUUGGGUUGGCAAUCUGCUUAUUUUCAGCAUCAUCCAACACUGCUUUCACCGACAUCAAGGUUGGCUUGAGUUUCUUCAGUAGCACAACUUCAAGUUUCUUUCCUUUGAUAAGCCUCAGAACAUCGGCAUAAACAAUCCUAUCAAGCAGCACCUCAAUGGAAGCAGAGAGAAAAGCUUCAGCCACCAUAGCCAUGUUUUUUUGUGGGGUUUUUUUCGGUAAAUAAAGGUUUAAAGGAAGAUGAAAAGGGAAGUAAUAACAAAGAAAGGAAAAGAAGAGUGCUUCAACUAAAGAGAAGACACGAUUGCAAAGAUGAAGGAUUUGGAUUUGAAACAGAGAAAGGAAGUGCAAAGCAAAUAGUCAACAAGGAACAGUAGAAGGAUUGGAUGAAAGGGGAAGGCUUUAACUCGCAAAUACUUUAGUUUCAAUAAAUUUGUGUAUAAAAUUUCUUUAUUGGAAUGUUUGAAAAAUGAUUUUGGGUUGAAAAGUAUGGAAAAUUAAUGUAUUACACAAAUGAUGAAAUAAUAUGGAAAACAACAUAAUAAUAUAAAAAUAUCUUGAAAUUUAUAUUUAUAAAUUAAGUAGAUUUUAUUCCUAAGAUUGCAAAAUUAACAAAUCCUUUGUAAUUUGUCUUUUUUAUUUUAAAAAAGGGGUAAAUUAAUCCUCGUACAUUAAAUUAAGAGUAAAAUAAUUAUUCUGUUAAAAUUUUUAUCCAUUUAAAUUAUUAAAAAUUGGUCCUAGUAUAUCAACAUGAGGUAUAUAUGGUAUGUCACAUGUCAUUAUUCGGUUAUUUUAUCAAUCAUAUCAAUUUUUAACAGUACAAAUGGAUAAAAUUUUUAACAAAAAAAAGGAUUAAUUUGUUCUUUGAUCUAACGUAUAAGGACUAAUUUACUCAUCUUAUAUUAAAUGGGACAAAAUAUAAUCUAACUCCUAGUAUAGAGAGCUCCAUAAUAUUUUACGGUGCAAAUUAUAUAUUAACAUAUCAAAAAAUUUAUAUAAAUAUAAAAAUACGAUACAUAUCCAUAAAUUCUUAGAUCUAAUAAUAAUAGCCAAGUAGUUUCAAAUAAAUAAAUCUUAGAAUAAAGAAAUGAGAUUAAUAUUCAUAAAACUAGAUAAAAAGAACAGUAAAGAACUGAUGCCGCCUGACUAAGUGACGGCACCCUCUUAUUUAUUUCAAACCAAAAUACAAAUUUAUUUUAAGAGGAUACGAAAUAAAACAAAAUAAUAAUAAUUUUUUAUUAGUGCGGCCCAGGCGGCAACCUAUUAUUUUUAAAAGGAAAAUUGUUUUUUGUACUCUCCUUAUGUAUAUCCAUAGGGAACUCCCAUAAGCCAUAAGCCAUUAAAUGCUUCCAUCGAGUAACCAGUUCAUGACAAAGGACACCCACCGAGGACAGUGUAGCCAUAGAGCCCCAGAGCUCCAACCCACUAUGAAAUAUCCAACGCCAGUGAAGCACCAAUCACACCCCAAUCCAACACAUUUACGAACACCCAACUCGUCAACACAUUCACCCCUAAAGCACAAAACGAGACAUAGGCUAACACCCUAGUCUUCAACUGGCUUUGCAAGAACCUUUGUAAUGGGAACUGAAACGCAAAGCUAAAGUGCAAAGGUAUCAACCAAAUCGCCACCACCCCCGACAUCUCCCCCACGUCGUCCAGCUGUCCGAAUAGCUUUAAAACCGGGGUAGCAAAUACGUAAAUGGGUAACAACAAAGGAGUAAAACGAUCCAAGAUCUUUGCAUGUAAAGGCCGAACAUGUGGUAUUGUUUAGCACCAAAAGCUUGUCCACAAAGGGUUUCUAAAGCACUCGCCAUCCCUAAUUAUAUUAAAGUGAAAAAAAAAACCUAAUGUUAAGAGACAAAUAUGGUAAAAAGAAAACUAAUGGAACAAAAAAGAAAGUCUCAUCUAAUGAAAAUUUACUAUGAGGCCAAAGUUGAAGCCAACGAUGGCCGUAUUGGCUAUUGAAAUAGCUACAAGUUGAACAUCACCAAGGUGACCAGCAAAAGCUUGGGUUAUAAUGUUCAUGGAGUAGAAGCAACAGGAGUUACAGGACUGAUGAUUGAAGGUCCUACGAUGACCCAUAGCUUCUUUGUUUCGAUCCAUAGCCUUGUACUUAAGUCCUUCUUCCCCAUCUUCAUCUCUCCAUUUAUUUUCUUCUGGUUUUGAUUCUUCAUGAUUUGAACCUGGUUCUGUUAGUAAAGGUUGAUGGUAUUCGCCACUGUUCCCAUGGAUACUAUCCAUUAGAGACAAAGUUAAAAUAAUAGACUAUGGGCUAUCUUAGAUUUGCUUGGGACAAAAAAAUUUUUAAAAAUUAAUAAUAAUAGGGUGCGCCAGGCAAGUUGCCAACCACUAAUAAAAAAAUAUUUUUUCCGAUUUAUUCCACAUUGUAAAAAUUUUGUAUUUUGGUUUAAAAUACAGAUGCUGCUAAUUGAUGAAGUUGCGUCUAAAUUUUUUUUUAGAAAUAAAGGGGUGUCACCGAUUAGUCAGCGGCACCAAUUGUUUAUUAUUGCUUAGUUUCGUGAAUAUUAAUCAUCUUAUCCUAUUUUGGUAUUUAUUUAUUUAUUUUAUAUUAUUUAUGUAAAAAAUACCCUAUAGUAUCUGAACUUGAUUAGAGGUUCAGAAACAAAAACAGCACUAGUAACCCAGAAAUACACCAAUACCCAGAUUAGAGCUGAUCUUGGCCUGGCCAGGCUGAGCUUCAAUAGAAUUUUAGGUCUAUUUUUUAGGCCUAGAUACGACUUGAAAAUGGACCUAAAAUUUUGCCUAAAUUUUCUCGAAUAAAAAUGCUAAUAUCUAAGCCUAGCCCGACCACCCGUAUUAAAAUUGUUUACAUUAUUAUUCUUAUAUAAUACAAAUUUAAAAAUAUAAUACACUAAAAACAUUAAAAUAAAUGUUCCCCAACAAAUUUAAAAUAAAUUUAAAAAAUAUGUACAUACUUAAAUAACACUAAAAUAGGUGUAAUUUAGCAAGCAAAUGCCUAUAAAAUAAUAGCAAAAUUAACAAUAAAACGAGAGUUAUACAAUAUCUAAAUAAUAACAAUAAAAUAGUAACAAUAUAAUAACGAAAUGACAACAAAACAAUGACAAAACAAGAGCAAAACAAUGGCAAAAUAGAAUUAGUUAUUUUUUUGCAAAUUUAGGCCAGGCAAAAAAAAAAAUUACCCAAAACCUAACUCAUUUAGAAAACAAGCCUCAUUUUUUGCUCAAGCUCAUUUUGUGGAUCUGUAUUUUUACUCAAAAUUUCCCACCUUUUAUACGAGCCUUUGUGCUGGCCAAAUGACCCAACUCAUAAUCAGAUCUAAGACCAAGUGAUACUAUAUAUAUAUAUAUAUAAAACAAACCAACUUUAGCAAAUGUAGGUCAGAUAUUUUAGCACAUUAUAAGAAAAUUUGCCUUUUAAGGCAAUGUUUAAAACAUAAAGUUUACUAUUGAAAUUGAAACAUAUUUAAAUAAAAACUAUUGUUUUAUAAAUAAAAGUAUCAUGAAAAUCAAUUAAAAUAUUCAAAAAAGUCAAUUUUUUUUAAAAAAUUACCUGAUUAGGCCUGGCACACGGCCGUGUGGCAUCAACAGUCAUGUUUUUCAGCAUCCGAAAUUCACAAAAACUCGGGUUUUCGGUACGUAGAGGAAGUAAUUUUGAAGUAAGAGCAACGUAAAAUACUCCCGAAGCCUAAAGCGACCAUUCAAUAACAAAAGACCUUCUAGCGGAAAAAGAAUACUCAAUUAUGCAUAGAAAACUAUGUCGAAAGUUUCGACACAAGACCUUCAACAACUCCAGACUUACCAACAACAUCAACAGUGAUUACUCGAGUUAUUGCACUGAGGAUUGUUGCUUUUGAUAUCCUCGCCUAAAAAGAAGCCAAAAGGUCCCUUAAAAGAAGGUUUAAACAAUUUGAGUUGGAAACAACUCAGACAAAAAUGAAUGAACUACCGUAUAACGGAAGUUCUAUGAUUAACGAAAUAGACAAAAUGUGCGGACCAAGCAACAAUUGGAUGAAGAAAAAAAGGAAAAAAGAACAAAAAGAAAUAGAUGAAAAAAAUAAAGAAGAAAAGGAAAAAAAUAGCAAUGGAAAGGAAGAGGGAACGCUUAAUUAAUCUAACCAUCGAUCAAAAUUUCGACAUUAACCAAAAACAUUACCUAAUGCAUACGCAGAGACUCAAAUACUAGACCAGAAAGUAGACAGAUGCUUAGCCAGUUAACCAGCAGGCUCAUUCUUGACUGUGAAAAAAUAGAACGUCGAUAAUGACAAUGUAUCACAAAGAAAAGAGAAAGAAAAAUAAAGAACACACAGAUUUUUAUGUAGAAACCCUUUUGAGAAAAAAAACUACAGGUAAAGGAGAAGAUAAUUCACUAUGUCGAAUUCAAAUGAUUAUAAGAGGAGUAGACUAUGUCUAUUGUAAAACCAUAUUAUAAUAGAAUGAGUGUAGUAAGGUUGAAACAUCUUAUUCUAAUCAAUAUCGAAUAUAUGAAGUGUAAUAAGGUUGAAAAACCUUAUUCUAAAAUAAAAUAAAAGAAGUGUAGUUCUAUAUGGAUUUUACUUUUAUUUUAUUUUACCACAAUAUUUUAUUUUAACAAGGAUUCGGGUCACUCAAUUCUAACAAUCUCCACCUUGACACGAAUUCUCAAUGAAUAAUUUCUUCACCAUGAACUCUCAACGAAUAAGUUCUCCACCUCUUCUAUGAAACCCUUUAAGGGGUAUUUUUCAACAAUGAACACCAACCAAGUCUAAACAAUGCUCAAACUUGGUUAUGGGAAGUGACUUAGUCAUCAUAUCUGCAAGAUUUUCAUGAGUACUAAUUUUGCUCACAAUACCACCACGAGUAAUAAUAUCAUGAACAAAAUGAUACCGAACAUUAAUGUGCUUUGUUCUCUCAUGAAACAGUUGAUCUUUUUAAGCACUCAUUUACAAUGAACAACCUUUUUUCCUUUAGGAAGUUUCACAAGAGCUCAUGUUUUAUUUUUGUUGAGUUAUUCCAUCUCUUUUUGCAUAGUAAAUAUCUACUUUUCUGAGUCUUCACAGCUAACCGCUUCAGAAUAAUUAGAUAGAUCUUCAUUUGCAUCUAUAUCUUUAGCCACAUUUAAAACAUAAGUAACUAGAUCAACAUCGAUAUACUUUUUUGAAGGUUUAAUCUCUCUUCUAGUUCUGUUUUUGAUGAUAGAAUAUUAUGGUAAAGAAGUAAAUCUAUUCUGAAUUUCUAUUCUGGCUUGAGGAGUCAACUUUGUUUUAGAUUCUAGAUUAAUCUGAUGCUCCAUCUACUUUUGCUGUUCUUUAUUAGAAGAGUCUUUAAGAGAUAAGUUAGGUAGCAUAACAGUUUGAUUAAAAACAUCUCUAUUAAUCACAACUUUUCUAUUUUCAAGACACCAUAACUUAUACACUUUUACACCAGUUUUAUAACCAAGAAAAACACAUUUAAUGGAUCUCGGUUCCAAUUUUCCAUUAUCAACAUGAGCAUAUGCAGGACACCUAAAGAUCUUUAAAUCAGAAUAAUCAGCAGGAUUACCAGACCAUACCUCUUGUGGAGUCUUUUUCUCAAUGGCACUUAAUGAAGACCGGUUGAUAAAAAAGCAUGCAGUAGAGGCUGCUUCGACUCAAAAUGACUUUGGUAAGUUGGUAUUCGAUAGCUUACAUCGAACCUUCUCCAUAAUUGUUCUGUUCAUUCAUUCUACAAUGUCGUUUUGCUGUGGAGUAUGACGAACUAUCAAGUAUCUCAUGAUCCCUUUUGACUUGUACAAUUCAUUAAACUCAUCAGAACAGAACUCUAAGCUAUUGUCUGUGCGAAUGUGUUUUAUUUGAUUUCCCCUUUAUUUUUCAAUCAUAGUUUUCCAAGACUUAAAUGUAGAAAACACAUCACUUUUCUACUUUAGGAAAAAUGCCCAAACUUUUCUGGAAAAAUCAUCAAUAAGUGUUAGCAUAUAAUUAGCUCCACAUUUCAAAGGCACACUAGAUGGCCCCACAAAUCAGAAUGAAUAUACUUUAACAUUCCUUUCAUGUUGUGGAUUUCUCUGCUGAAUCAAACUCUCUUUUGCUUCCCAAAAAGGCAAUGCUCACAGAACUUUGGUUUGCAAAUUUCUUACCCAUCAAGAAGUCUUUUUUUGUUCAAUUCUGUCACACUAUUCUCAUUCAUAUGCCCUAGGCGCAUAUGCCAAAGUCUAGUAACAUCAUCAUCUGAUAAGGAAGAGGAAGCGAUAGUUGCAUCACCAAUAAUCGUAAAACCCUACAAAACAUAUAACUUGACAGUCUUUCUUUGUCCUUUCAUCACAAUAAGGGAACCUUUGAAAUUCUUCAAAACUCCUCUUUAUGUUGUAUAUUUGUACCCUUUUGAAUAAAAAGUACUCAACGAAAUCAAAUUUCUCUUCAAAUAUAGAACAUGACGCAUGUCACUAAGUGUUUUGACAACUCUGUCAAACAUCUACUUUUCUUAGUCUGCAGAGCUAACUGCCUCAUCUCUUCAUCCGUCAAUGUCAAAGGCAUUUUAUCUAUCCGUAGCAGAGCAUCCUCUAAGUCCAUCUGCGCAAGAAUUGUCUACAUCUUUAUCUAUCACAACACAAAUCUGGUUUUCUAAUCCAAUAGUGAAAUUUCAUACCUCAAAGAUGUCAUUACCAUGAUUGAGAUGAACAACCUGGAAACUCUGAUACCAAUUUGUGAAAAAAUAGAACGUCGAUAAUGACAAUGUAUCACAAAGAAAAGAGAAAGAAAACUAAAGAACACACAUAUUUUUAUGCGGAAACCCUUUCAAGAAAAAAAGCACGGGUAGAGGAGAAGAUAAUUCACUAUGCCAAAUUCGAAUGAUUACAAGAGAAGUAAACUAUGUCUAUUUAUAGGCUUGUAAAACCAUAUUCUAAUAGAAUGAGUGUAGUAAGGGUGAAACACCUUAUUUUAAUUAAUAUAAAAUAGAUGAAAUGUAAUAAGGUUGAAAAACCUUAUUCUAAAAUAAAAUAAAAGAAGUGUAGUUUUAUAUGGAUUGUACUUUUAUCUUUUUACCAUUGUAUUUUAUUUUAACAAGGAUUCGGGUCACUCAAUUCUAACAAUCUCCACAUUGACACGAAUUAAAUCUAAGUCAGUGGCCCAAGAGUAGAGAUUAAUUAAAAUUAAAUUAGAAGAACUUCUAAAGAUGCAACUUGAACUCCUGACCUCAACCACAUAAACAGAGCACAUAACAACAGAUACAAAGACUUAAUUACUAUAGAAUCCCACAAAUAAACAUUCAAAUUUUUAGGGCGUUACCCAGCAUAUGGAUUAUGUGUAACACCCCUAACCCGUAUCCUUCUCCAGAAUAGGGUUAUAGAGCAUUACCGGAGUUUACAAAUUAAUUUUCAGACAUUUCAUUUCAUCAAGCAUUCAUAUUUAUAACCAAUCAAAAUCAGAACAUUUAUGAGCUAACAUUGACUAAUUUAACUUAUACAAGUCAUUAUAACCAGAAUCAAAUCAUCCAAAAUUACCGAUAGAACCAAUGGAUAAUGUAAUAUAUCUUCAACAAGCUUCCGAUAAUCAUUUCAAAACAUCUAACAAUUAUACAUAGUACCAAUAAUAACUCAAUUCCAAUAAUAAAACACAAAUAUAUAAUAUUCAUUACCAAAUAGAAUUCACUUUAAUUAAAAUUAUACAAAAUAUAGUUCAUACGAACUUAACAGACUAAAUUGCAGAAAUACCAAAAUUCAGGGGCAUUUUGGAAAGUUUCUAUUUUUCUCGAAUUUCUACCCAAUUUUGAUCUAAAUUAAUAUUUCAUUCAAUUUACUAAUUUAAAUAAUAAAACAAUUCAUUUCAUGCAAUUUGGUCACUUUUUUGACAUCUUUACAAAUUUACCCUUAAAGUUUCUCAUUUGUUCAAUUUAGUCCCUAAACCUAAAACAUGUAAAUUGGUCAUUUUUAAUGAAAACUCAUGCUAGUUGAAUAAUCAUAUAUUUUCCUCCUCCAGACUCCAUUCCACAUCCUUAAUGUAUAUAACAUGCUUAUAUGUAACAUUAUCUAUAAUUUCACCAUUUAUUCAUAUAUUCAUUCUAAAUUGUCCACUUGAGUCAUAGUCACUAAAUUAUUUAUAUCUUGAGCUAUAGAACUAAAAAUUGAGAUCCGUUAAUUUUAUAUGAAACUAGACUCACAUAUCUUCUUACCAUAAAAUUUUCAGAAAAUUUAGUUCAGCCAAUAAGUACAGUUUAUUCUUUAAAUUCAUCCCUGUUCUGCUGUCUGACAGUUCCGACCCUUCUUCACUAAAAAUUAAUUAUUUCCUCGUACAGAAUUCGAAUGAUGUUACCGUUUGUUUCUAUUGAAAAUAGACUUAUUAAGUAUUUAAAUAUAUAAAUUUAAGUCCAUAAUUAUUUUUCUCAAAUUUUUUAUGAUUUUCCAAAUUCAGAACAGGGGAACCCAAAUUCAUUCUGACCUUGUCUCACAAAAUUUAUUAUAUCUCAUGAUUUACAAUUCUGUUACUUAUUAUAUCUCAUGAUUUACAAUUCUGUUACUUACACCGUUUCUUCUAUGAGAAACGAGACUCAAUAAGCUUCAAUUUCAUAAUUUUUUUAUCCUCUAAUUCGAUUUUCACAAUUUAUGGUGAUUUUUCAAAUUUAACCUACUGUUGCUGUCAAAAACUAUUUUAAUGCAAGAUAUUGAUUACUAAGUUUAUAACUCCCUUAUUCCCUUUCUCUAUAAUAUUUCCCAUCACUUUCACUUAUUUCCGUUCACUAAUAUAUCAAGAAAAUAAGACUUUAUAUAAGAAAACUCUACUAGAACAUCAUUUCUAUGCUUUUUCAAUAAUAUCAAACUUAAAAACAUAUUGAAAUCUUGAUGUUCUUACCUUGUCCUAUUGGUUUCAAUCUUUAACUUGAUUUUCUCUCUCCUCCAGCUUCUAUUUCUUUAAUCUAACUUGAUAUUCUAGCUCCCCAUAGUCUUCUUGUUAUUUUUCUCUCUUGAUGGCUAUAAAAAUUCUUUUGAUUUCUAGGUGAAAAUAGUAAAUUUUUGGAGGAAGGACCAAAUUGUAAAGAAAGCAAAACUUUCUUUCUUUCUUUCUCUCAUCUUCACGUUGGUGCAUGGGAAGAUGAUGGCUUGGUUCCCUUUUUCAUCUUUUUUUCCACAUAUAUAUAUUUUAAAUAAUAAAAUAAUAAAAUAUCAUUAAAAUAUUAAUAAACUAAUAUUUAUUUAUUUAUUUAAUCUAAAAUAUCUCCAACAUCAUCAUUAUCUUCUAGAUUACUCUCUCUUCUAAAUGACCAUUUUGCCCUUCAUGAUCUUUUAAAAUUCCAUCCUUGAGUCAUCACUUAAUUUGGAAAAAUUAUGAUUUAAUCCCUCAUAAUUUUUCACCUAUUCAAUUAGGUCCCAAUUCAUCCAUUUUCUUUAGUUUCUAGAUUAUUCCACCCUUAAAAUAUUUACACUAUUGGUCCUUCAAACUUUUCAUAUUUACACUUUAACCCCUCAAAUUUUAAGUAUUUACUCUUGGGCAACAAAACUUUUCUCACUUUUGCAAUUUAAUCCUUUCUUGAAUUAAUAUGUCAUAAUAUACUUUCCAAUGUUGACAUAACUCAAAGUUACCAUUUUUAUCACUUUAUUUCCUUAUUUACUAUAUCAGGAAUAUUAUCUUAUUUUUUUACUGUAGUAAAUUUUUUUUUGGGGUAUUACAUUAUGAGUCUAUAUAUACACACAUAUCUACAUCUCACAUGCUUAAGAAAAUAAGAGAAAUGAGACUUUGGGUCUAGAAACAAGCGUUUUCUAAAAUUUGGCCUAUUCCUUUAAGUUUUACAUAAAUAAAGCUAUUCAUGUAAAUUUUUUAAUUUUUCGACAUUUAUUAGUAAACUAGUCAAUGUUUUUAAUCAUGAAUAUAAUUUUGGGUUUAUAUGAAAUAUGCAGGGCAAGAUAGUAAUGUUAUUAUUAUUGUGUAUAUAUAUUAUAUAUGCAUAUCAAUGAUUUUGAGGAUUAAUUCAUGAUUAUAGUAGGUGUUCAUAACCAUUAUUCAUUGUUACGAUGAUUUGGUGCAAACUCAUGUAAACUAUAAUACAGGUUUAAAGAAUUUGGUUUUUCAAGUUUGAUUUUAUAAUAUUUGGUUUUGGCAUUUUAUGGUUCCAAAUAUUUGGUCAAAUUAUGAUAUGAUUUACGAAAUGAAUUGUGAGAUAUACCAACUAUUACAAAAUUUGGGUUAAGAGUUAGAUUUUGGAAUUUCAAAUUUUAAAAUUGAAUAUAAAACAUUAAAAAAAUUGUAUUAUAUCUUCUUUCACACUUCCUUCAAAACUUAAACAAUAAAUAAUAAAUUUUGUAACAGCCCAUUUUCAGUGAAAUCAAAAUAGUGGUUUCGAGACCACAAAUUCGACAUGAAAAUAUUUAUUUUUAUUAAUAUUUUAGUGUCUACAGUAGGUUAGUAGUGUCGUACAAAAAUUUUGUUAAGAAAUUUUGACGUUUGCAUCUUAAUUAAGUAAAAAAAAAGGAUUAAAUCGUAAAAGGUGAAAAAGUGCAGUUCAAUUAGAUAAAGGCAUUAAAUUGCUAUGAAAUUUUAGUUUGAGUGACUUAAAUGAUAAUUAAACCAUUUUAUGAGUUAAUGGACAUAUAUGGACAUCAUUUUAAUGAUGUUAAAGGUUUAUAAUAAAGGUUAAUUUAGUAAAUAAAUACAAAUUAAAUCAAUUAAAAGAAAACUAAAUGUCUAUCUCCUCCAAGUUCUUUCUCCACCGUAAUUUAGAAGAGGAAGAAGCCUUUUUAGGGUUUUUCCAUUCGGCCAUAGUCUAUCCUUGCAUGUAAGUGCAAUUUUGUCCCGUUUUUAAUUAUUUCUAUGUUUUUGAAGUCAUUAUAGCUUAAUCUUGCUAGCCUAGGGGCUAAUACGCAAAAUUGUUAAAAGUAUAGGGUUUUGCCAUGAAUUUCCUAGCUUGAUAUUUGUAGUUUAAUGAAAUAUUAUGAAUUUUUGUUGAUAAAUAAACAACUUUUGCAAAGUGAUUUUUGUUGAAAAUGUCAAAUCGAGACUUGAUUGUAAAAAUAGUAAAAAUGUAUGGUGAAAUUGUGAAAUAAUGAUUUGUAUGAAUUAAUAUGUGUUCAUGAAGAAUUCAGCUAGCUUGGGUUAGGGAUGAAACUGCAUGAAUUUCAAUUUACGAGCAUAAAGACUAAAUUGUAAAAAGUUAAACUGUUAGGGGUACAAUUGUAAGUAUGCAUAAAUGUGAUUUGUGGAUUGAAUUGAAUAAUUGAGUUUGAUUGAAACACUUAAUUGAAUAUUAUUAUUUAUUUAGAUUAAGAUAAAUCUCAACCAGAUUUAAAUUGAGGAAAGGCGAAAGUCACAGAUUAACUUGAUUGUACUCCUACGCACUAGUUGCCAAUGUAAGUUCAUAGUAGUUAAACGUAUAAUUGAUUUUCCAUAUGUAUUUUUACCUUAUAAAUAUGUAAUUAAAUGUUAAUGUAAAUUAUAACCUAUUUGUACUUCAGUACCUCUGAUUGCACAUACGUGCCCUUGUUCGUACUUCCGUAUCCUUGAUUGCACUUAUGUGCCCCUGUUUACAUUUUCGUAAUUUCAAUCAAGUAAAAUAAGAAUUGUGUUCAUUUGAUGCUAAGUUUAAAAGAUUUACUAUGUUCUUACUGAGCUUUGUAAGCUUAUAGGUUUUUGUGUAUCAUUUUGUAUAUUGUUAUUGCUAACCUUUGGACGGAUCGAAUCUUCAGCUCACACUAUCCAUCAUUGUUGGUAGCUCUUAAACUCUUUAGGGUUGUGGCAUGUAUAUGUGGCUAUUUAGUUUGUUUUGGUAUAAUAUGGUGAAUUACUAAACUAGGUGAUUAGGUACUUUUCUAUGUUUGUGAAUAGAUAUCUUUUGGUACAAAUAGAAUGUUAUGAAAGUAAACACUUAUGGAUUGUUUUGGUUUGUUGAUGGAAUAAGUUGUUAUGUUUGGUUUAUAAAUAUGGUAUAUUGGAUGGUGUGCUUUUGGCACUUUGAUGCUUAAUGGAUUGUUAUGGAUAUGAUCAAUUUGGUAUGUCUGAAUUGUGGUUAAUUAUGAAAUGAUUAGGUAUGUUUUAUGUAUGUGUUUGAGUUGUCUAUAUGACGUAUUGGUUAUAUGGAUUAUUAGCUUAUUGUAUGGAUAUUUUUUUGUAGGUUUUGAGCAUGUUUAUGAGUUUUGAUCAUGUGUGCAAAAGUGCCUAAGUUUAUGCUUGUGAAGGAUAAAAGAAAUGACUUGAUUUUAGUCAUUUUCUUGUCCACACAGCCAAAGACAUGGGUGUGUGUCUUAGCCGUGUAUGACAUACGGCCACGUGAAAUGGUCGUGUGUCCCUUAUAGGUUUCAAAGGGUGGUAAGUCAGGCAGUUACACAGCUUGGCACAUGGGCGUGUUAGGCCAUUUUGAUAGUUACACGACUUGACACACGGGUGUGUGGCUUGGCCGUGUAGCCCAAGUCAGAGAGAUACACGGGCACAAACACAGGCUAGGACACGGCCGUGUGUCCCUACUUUUAAUGUCCACACGGCCUGAGACAUGAGUCGUGUGAGUUACACAGCCAUGUGACCCCUGCAGUAUGAAAUUUUCUAACUAUUUCCAUAUUCUUUCAUAUGUCCCCAAUUUAGUCCUGAAUCAUUUUUAAACUAUUUUUAAGGCCUCAAGGGUUCAAAUAAAGGAUGAUAUGUAUGUGUUUGAACAAGUUAUGAUAUGAUUUAUGAAAUGUUUGCAAACAAAUUAUUUAAGUUGCAUAUUUACAUUAAUGCUCUGUAACCUUAUUCUGGAGACGGAUACAAGUUAGGGGUAUUACAAAGUUUACUGAUAAUAUAUCGAUGAAGUUCAAGGGUUUCAAAAUUGGAUUGGUAGGCAAACUAUAGACCACUAGUUCAUGGUUUAACUGGUUCAAUCGAUCCAAUUGAUUCAAUUGAAUAAAUUAUUAAAAAUAAAAAUAUUUAAAAAUAAAUAAAAUCAAUUCAAUUGUCAAUUUGAGUGAGUCAAUUGGUUUAACCAGUUCAUGAGUCAACCAAUUUGACCUUUUAUUCCAAACUAGUAUCUCGAACGAUUCCCAAUCCGAUCGAUUUGACCAGUCAAUCCGAUUUGGUUCUUAAAACAAUAACAAAACUUCAUGUGUUUAAUUUAAUACAUUAUAAAUAUGCUAAAUUUUCAUUUAUAUGAUAAUUUUCACAAUUUUAAUUUAUAAACCCUAGACUUUUAAUUAAAAUCUAAGUAAGUACAAAAAAAUUUAUAUGAUUGAACUAAUUAGGCCACCAGUUUGCUAGUCCAAUCGGUUUAAUCAGUUUGACCGAUACGAUCGGUUCGACCAAUCUACCUGAUUCUAUUAAAUAAAUCAUUAAAAAAUCAUAAAUAUAAAAAUAUAAAAAAUAUUAUUUUAGUUCAACCGGUUCAACUGCAUAACCAAUCGGUUAGUAUUGAUUCCUGGGACAGCUCGUUUAAUGACUUUCGUCAAACAAGUACUUUGGCUGAUUCCCAAUUCGAUUGGCCAAACUAAUCUUGUUCAAACAAUAAUGUUCAAAAUCCUCCUAAAUAAUUAAAUCUUAAAGAAAAAACAUUUUUAAAACUUAAAAUUAGUUGAAAUCCAAAUCAAUAAAUUUAAAUCAAUUCAAAAUUUUAAAUUUCAAAUAUUUUUAUUACCAAAUAAAAUAUUUAAAAAUAAUGAAAUCAUAAAUUUCGAACUUAGAAAUUGAUAUUUCAAUUCUCAAACAAUAGCUAAUAGUUUGGACGGGUUUGCAGCACUCACAAAAUCAUUUAAUACUUAGUAACACAAGAAUGCACCUUAAUUGCUCUUUUUUUUUUUUAACCAUGUUUUUGGUUGUUUACAAAUAAUUUUGCAUAAAGAAAAAAAAAUCAUAUUAUAGCAUAACCAAUAGUAUUAUUCUAAAUUAGAAAAUCUUAUUAUAAGUGCAUACGUGUAAAAAUUACAAAUUUAGAAUAUAGAUAUAUGUUUAAAAAUAUCAUUUAAUAAUAAAUAAUGAAACUUAUGGUUUGAAACUAAUUAAUCAUAACAACACAUGAAAUAUAUAUGAUACUAAAAUUAAAAAAUAAAUUAAAUUAUGAGUAAAAUGAAAUUAACCACAUACAUACAUCAGAUAAAUCAUAAUUAAUUUUAAAUUAAUUACACAUUGAACUGGAAAAGAAAAACCGUUCAUAUCCUUUUUCUUUUAGUUUUCUUUUCCAUUUUGAUUGAAAAAAAAAUUUAUUCUCAUCCUAGUUAGACAUCUAAAUUGGCAUUUAAAACUCAUUUAGACCGCCACGUAGAAUUGCUUUUAGGGAGGUAACGGAGCUUAACGGCAGAAUGAGUACUACUUCGUAACAAAACGAUAACAUAAGUAACUAGAAUGUAACAUUUCAAACAUAAGUGACUAAAAUGUAAUAUGAGGAAAACAAAAGUGACUAUUUUUGUCGUUUAUCGUAUUAUUAAUUUUUUAUUUAAAAUUUAAUUUAAUUAGAAUUAAAUUAAAAUAUAAUUUUUUUAGCAAAAUUUGAUUAAUAACUUAUCCCUACUAAUUAUUUGAUUGUUAAAAUUCAAACUAUUUAUGCAAAGUUUUUAUUUUUAUCCUAAUAAUUAUUUUUGAUGUGUGUAGUUAACGUUGAAAACCUUAAUUUUCCCUGUUAAUUACUUUACUAUGAUUUCAGUCGUGAAUAUGUUAUUUUGAAUUUUACGUCAUCAGUCAAUCAGACUUUAUAAUUUAGUUGUCAAAAUUCAAAUUAUUUAUACCAAGUUUAUAUUUUAAAACACACAUAAGUUAUUACUUCUUGAUCAUAGGUCAGAUUGAUGUAAAAUUUUAAGUUCGAGCUCGGCUCAGAAAAUGAGUUUAAAAUUUUACUCAAGCCCAACCUAAAUUAAUAAUGCUAAAAUUGAGCUCGACCGGGUCUUCCCAUAUUGAUUUUUUUUAGAUUUUUUAUAUAAAAACAAAUUUUAAAAAUAUAAUAUAUCAAAUGUAAACACCCUAUACCUGACCUAGACAUUACGGUCAAAUCAUGGAGAUUACAUCUAACGAAUGGAAAAUUCAAUUGAACAACUCUUUUUUGAAAACACAAUGAUUCUCCUAAAUCGUAGCUUAAUUGUGUUACUAACAUCAAAAGCAAUUUACAUGAAAACAUUUGCGUGCUAACAAAAAAAAAACAUUUUGAGAGAAUUUCAGUUAAUCUUACAGUGAAAAACCUUAUAGUUUUUUAUAUAUAAAAUCGUGGUUCAUUUUUAAUUAUCAUAGGUUAAGCGUUUUUAAUGACUAAAGCCUUUGCUUAGUAAAUAUCAAAAUAGUCCUAACUAAACAAAAAUAAAAAUGUUCAAAACGAAAUAAAAACCCAAAACAGUCAAAAAAAUGUCCAUAAUAACAAAUAAAAAGUCCAAAGUGUUUAAACUAAAAUGUGUAAUUCGAGCUCCAGAGUCGCCAUCUAAUCCUAAGUCGAAAGAUCACCUGAAACAAAGAAAAACAUAGGCGUGGGCUUUAAGCCCAAUGUGUGAUUUGGCCCAUAAUUUCAAUAAUUUCAAUACAAGCAAUCAUCAAUUUGUUUCAUAGCAUAUCAGGCUUCAUAACUAGACAUAUUUUAUCAUAUCAUAUCAUAUCAUAUCAUAUCAUAUCAUAUCAUAUCAUAUCAUGUCCUACUCCCAUCCGCUACAUAUUGUCUCCGUCCAGCCAAUCAUACCAUAUAAGACUACUAGAGUCCAUCUAUUUAGUCACUUCAAUAGGUAGCAAUGUGCCACUUAUAUAAUUGCAGUUGAGCUGCUAUACAUAAAUUUGUGGUCUAGCCGCCACAAUUAUAGUAUAAACUAUCAUAUAAUGUAACACCCCAAACUCGGCCUAGACGUUAUGGUCAAAUCUGGCGUGUCACAUUGAAGUGUCUUUCGAAAAGUAGACUUGUUGGUAACAAUUCGUUUCUAAGUUUAAAACCCCUUUAUUAGUGUUUAACAAAACAUCUAGUCAAACGUUUACCUUGUUAUCUACUUUAGUUAUAAUGGGUUGAUUUUAAAUCGCGGCAACUUUUGAAAACUCUGAUCAUUUAAAUUUAGUAUCUUUGAAAAUAGUAAUUAUUUUGAAAAUUCGUCUUCUCUUAACCUAGUAGUUUAAGGUAAAUAAGCAAAAGCCCAAUUAGAAAUUCAAACAAACUUAAAGGCCUUAUUACAAAAACCAACCCAACAUAUAAUUUAAAUUUAAAAUAAAAGCAACUGUAAACAGCAGCAGUUGUGUGGCCACCUCCGAGUCCCUCGCAGCACUGAAUCGCCUAUAGCUGAGGAUUACCUGCACAGUUAAAAGGAGAGAGUGAGUUUACAAAACUCAGUGUGUAAUCCUCUACCAAACAGUCAGUAUACAACAUGCAGUAACAAACUGAGCUUGAGCCCUAUUCAGUAACAGUACAGUGAGGGCCUUAGCCAAAUACAGUAACAGUGUGGGCCUUAGCCCAAUACUGUAUCAGUACAAUGUAAUAAUACAAAUCAUCCCAAUCCAGUCAACAUACCACUCCGUACCACCAACACACCAUGUGGGGAUAAAAUUGACCCACCCAGCCAACACACCAAUAUCGCAGUAAAAUUGCCAGAAGUAGCAUCGCAGCAAAGCUGCUAGUAACAGUAUUGAAGCAAAGCUGCCAGUAACAGUAUCGCAGCAAAGUUGCCAGUAACAGUAUACUCCCUCCAUUGCAGUAUCCCAACCCCAUGCAAUAUGUCAUGUCAUAAAUCAUACGUGUAUGCAAAAUAUCGUAUUCAAUCAUAGUCAUACAUAUCAUAUAGCAAAUCGGUCAUACAUACAUAAGGCCAUAACAGUCAUUUUGACUCUUAGGGGUAUAACAGUCAUUUUACCCUAUGGGGGUAUUUCGAUCAUUGUACCCUAUGGGGGUAUUUCAGACAUUUUACCCUAUGGGGUAUUUUAGUCAUUUUACCCUAUAGGGGUAUUUCGAUCAUUUACCCAGAAAUGGCAAGUUGGGCUUAACACUCGAGCGAUCGCACGCCUGUGUGGUCUCAAACGUCGUAUUUAUGGCUUUUUGGUUUCUGCCGUUCUACAGUUACAGUAGGGUGUUUACACACAUAUUUAUGAGAAGAGCGCAAAUCUCCACGUACACCAACCUAUAUUCAAACAUAACCUAAGUCAGUCCUUUAAACACUAGGGUAAAACACCCUCUUAUUAACAAUUAAUCCAAAACACCAUCCUUACCUUGCUUGAAAGAGGGCGACUUUACUCCUCCAAGACCGCCAACCAAAAGUGGUCACACACUUAUCGAUUAUCUGCACCACAGACAGUGAUCUUAAUAACUAAGUUAGGCUAUAUAAGUGGCCAAGAAGGGUAUUCGGUUUUAAGAAAAAGAAUAGAAGAGAAUUGAUUUAAACAAAAAGUGACAAGUAUCAAUACUUUACCGAUAAUCAAAAACACUUACAGCACUGGGACAGCAAAAGCAACGAGGAGAAGAUCGGCGCAGAGAGUGAUAGAACAGAAGGGUGAUAUUCGACUGAACCACACUCAAUAAAAGAAGAUAGCUCAUGGUCAAAAGGAAAAUAAUGGAAGGUAGAAAUCAAAAACAGAAAGAGAAAAAUAUUCGGUUAAAGAAGAAAAGAAAAAGAGAAAGGAGAUUCGACCAACAGAGAAGAGAAGAGGGGAAAAGAGAAUGAAAGAUUCGGCAACAAGAGGAGAGGGAAAGAGAGAAGAGCAUUCGGCAAGCAGAGAAUAUGAGAAGGAAAAAGUAGAAAAGGAAAGCGAACAAACCCGAAAGGUAUUUUAAAACUUGGCAAAAUUCAGUACCAAUAACUAAUAGAUGAAACACGAAACUGACCGAAACCAAAAUAGACAGAAGAAAAACAACCUCAAACAUCGAUUACCUCAAUGGCUAAUGACCAAAUUCGGCACAAGCAUACCCCUAGCCGAAUUCUCAAGCUAGAGUUUCCCCAAACGGCACAACUCUCCUCUCAAAUAACUCCUUGAUUUUCUCCUCGUAUCUAUCCCCUUAUCCCUCAUUGAAUCACUCCACUGAUUUCUCCUCAACUCCUCCAACAAGCCAUUCAAAUUCCAUUCAAACUCCCUUUAGCUGUGUUUCAGUCCAACUCCGCUACCUACACAGCUCAAGCAGCAAAAUAAACACUCCAUUGCAUAACUCAGGACUUGAACCUCAGACCUCACAGUCACACAACACGCCACAUUGCCACCAGACUACAAGCUCUUUUUGUGUCAUAAAACAAACACUAAUAUUUAUAAGGACUAAAUGCCAAUGUCCAGAUUCAUUUAAGAGUAAAACUAAAAAUUCUGCAAAAACCAAGACUUGAACCCAAGCUUCUCAAACACUCCCAUACACACCCAAAUCACUUAGCCAUUAAAGCAAACAAGCAAUUUGCGUCAAAUUAUGCAAAAAUCAAAGACUUAGAUUUUUGGGGCGUUACAUAUAACACUUCUUCCAUUAUAUCAUAACCCACCUCGAAACACAAACAAAUCAUAAUCGUAUAACAUACUUAAAUAUAUAUAUAUAUAUCAUAACUCAAUGGCAUGCAUACUUACAUAUUGUCAUACAAAUCCUUACAUAGCACAUGGUUAAAUGGAACAUUUCCUACUUAACAUACCUCCUAAACUUAUCUGUAUACUUUUACGUACUGAUAUUUAGGCUUUUCUGGCCCCAUACGAUGCCUACGGACCCAGAUUUUGAGUCCCUCAAACUACCCCUAAUUGGGCCCUAAAAUUGGGCAAAAAGGCCUACGCAACCCAAAAAGCUAGCUCGUGUGGUCUAUACGGCCUACCACACGAUCUGCAAAGUUUUACACGGACGUGUGCUCCACACAACCAAGCCACAUAGGCUGUAAGAUUUCAUAUGGCCAUGUGGUGCACAAGAUUUACCACACGGCCUAGCCUAUGAUUAUGUGGCACUAGCCAAUUUCGAUGAACAGCCCCUAUUUUACGAAUUUAACGAGUUUCAAUUCAAUUUUUUGGUUAUUUUCACACACCUGAUUACGUAGUCAACUAACUUCAAUAACGGGAACUCACAAACCUACAAUUACGCAACAGUCGUACCAACAAUAUGUCAAAAAACAUCACCUUAAUACAACAAAAUUAUAGCCCUUAAAAUGACAUUUGAGUCCUUACCACUUGGAAAAUAGCGACUAAAAUAGAACUUAAUCCAUUGAAGGGAUUGGAUUAUCGGUUCCUUUGCCUAAUCAACACAAGAACAUUUAUCACCUUAAGCAAAAAAAAAAUUGAAUCAAAAUAACAGAAAAAAAAGGUACAAGAGGGAGAGGGAACAAACGGUUCUAGGAAAAGAGGAAUAUAAGGAUUUGAUAGACUUAAAAUAAAAUAAAAUAAAAUAAAAAUAGCAAGUUUUAAUUAAUCCAAACCCCACACUUCAGAUUUAAUAGAGUUUAACUAAACUUUAACACCUACGAGAAGCCCAAGCAAAAAGUAAAAUGUAAUCAAACACUUAACCAUUAAACCACUAAACCCAUCAUUAUUAUAACCCAACAAAGAAAUUGAUUUAAGCCCUAAGGUUCAAACUUAACUUAAAGUAAAAAUAAUAAUAAUAGAAAAUCUCAAAACUAGAUAAUUGAACUCAGGACCUAAAACAAACUUUUAAGACAGUUAACCAACGCUCCAAAUCAAAUUACUUAACCAACCUACACAUUCAAAAACCCAAAAUUUGGGGCAUUACAUCAAAUGUACAUAUAUUUAAUUACGUAAUGAUAUUUAAGCUUUUCUGGCCCUAUACGAUACCUACGGACCUAGAUUUCAAGUCCCUCAAAUUGCCUAAAAUUGGGCAAAAAGGUCCAUGCAGCCCAAAAAGCUAACUCAUAAGGUCCAUACGGCCUACCACAUGGUCUGGAAGAUUUUACACGGACGUGUGCUCCACGCCAAGCCACAUGGGCUGCAAGGUUUCACACGGCCAUGUGGUGCACAUGGUUUACCACACGGCCUGACAUAUGAUCAUGUGGCGCUAGCCAAUUUCGAGGAACAGCCUCUAUUUUGCAAAUUUAACGAGUUUCGAUUCAAUUUUUUGGUUGUUUUCACACACCUGAUUACGUAGUCAACUAACUUCAAUAACGGGAACUCACAAACCUACAAUUACGCAACAAUCAUACCAACAAUAUGUCAAAAAACAUCACCUUAAUACAACAAAAUUAUAGCCCCCAAAAUGACAUUUGAGUCCUUACCACUUGGAAAAUAGCGACUAAAAUAAAACCUAAUCCAUUGAAGGGAUUGGAUUAUCGGUUCCUUUGCCUAAUCAACACAAGAACAUUUAUCACCUUAAGCAAAGAACAAUUGAAUCAAAAUAACAGAAAAAAAAAGGUGCAAGAGGGAGAGGGAACAAACGGUUCUAGGAAAAUAGGAAUAGAAGGAUUUGAUAGACCUAAAUUAAAAAAAAUAAAAUAAAAAUAACAAGUCUUAAUUAAUCCAAACCCCACACUUCAGAUUUAAUAGAGUUUAACUAAACUUUAACACCCACGAGAAGCCCAAGCAAAAAGUAAAAUGUAAUCAAACACUUAACCAUUAAACCACUAAACUCAUCAUUAUUAUAACCAAACAAAGAAAUUGAUUUAAGCCCUAAGGUUCAAACUUAACUUAAAGUAAAAUAAUAAUAAUAAUAGGAAACCUCAAAACUAGAUAAUUGAACUCAGAACCUAAAACAAACUUUUAAGACAUUUAAUCAACAUACCAAAUCAAAUUACUUAACCAACCUACACAUUCAAAAACCCAAAAUUUGGGGCAUUACAUCAAAAGUACUAAAAAUAUUAAAAUAAAUGUUUCCCAACAAAUUGAGAAUACAUUGAAAAAGUCUUUAUACUUAAAUAACAUUAAAAAAUAACAUUGAGAUAGUUGCAACUUAGCAAGUAAGUUCCUCCAAAAUAGUAGCAAAAUUAACAAUAAAACAAAAAUUAUACAACAUUCAAAUAAUAACAACAAAAUAGUAGUAAUAAAAUAGUAAAAUGACAACAAAACAACAAUGAAAUGGCAACAAAACAAUAUAUUUGGUCAGGUCAGACUUAGAUCAAAAUUUAUUAAAUAUAUAAUUUUUUAUUAUAUGAUAUAAUUAGUGACUCAAUAGUUACUUAUGAAAACGCCCAAUUGAAUCUAAUUCACAACCUCUUCCAAUUUUUCAUUCCCAGAAAAUUGAAUUUUGUUUCUAAAUUCCCCCUCAAAAUCAUAAUGAUAGAUUUUUUUUUCAUAAUAACUUUUUUUUUUAGCUCCUCUUCAAAUUACUUAAAAAAUGGAUGGAAAAAUUAAUGUUGGUUAAUUUUGUUCAUAUAGUACCUACGUAUAUAUCACGUAAGCAAUUAAUUAAUAUUUUAAGUUAAAAAUAUUAAAAUAUGUUUUUUAUGUUUUAUAAUUUUUAAUACUUUUUUAUUUUUUUAAUAUAUAAUAAAAUAAUUAAUUGCUAACGUGGCAUUCAUGUGGCAAUCUACGUGUAUGUCAUGUCAGCAAAGUUAAUAAAAUGUUUUUUUUUCAUCUAUUUUAGUGUGAUUUGAUAAACAAUACAAAUUUAUUAACUAAAAAUAUGAAAAUCAAAAUGAAAAUGAAAAUAAUUUUUUGUUUAGGUUAUUGAAUCAAAUAAAUAAAUUAUAUAUAUAGACAUAUAUACACACACAUUUGCAUAUAGUACUAUGUGUUAUUUAGCUGUUAGUGGAACAUGUCUCAAAAUUAGUAGUGGGCAGUUUAUGGUUUACAGAUAAACAUGCAACAUCUAUGUUUCUACAUUGCUACAAAAUAACACGAUAAUGAAACCAAAAUUAACGUUGUACACAAAUGACGAAAUAAUAUGGAAAAGUAACUGUGACUUGAUGAAAUAAUAACAACAUAAUAAUACACAAACAUUUUGAAAUUUAUACCUACAAGCUCUCUAUUAAAAGUUUAAUUGUAUUUUAUUUUUAUUUAAAAAUGAGUAAAUUAAUCUCCAUACGUUAAAUUAAAGAGUAACAUGAUUAUUCUAUUAAAAAUUUUAUCUAUUUCUAUUAUUAAAAACUAGUCUCAGUACGUCAGCAUGAGAAAUAUAUGACAUGCCAAAUGUCACAAUUUGAUUAUUUUGUCAACUAUGUCAAUUUUAACAGUACAAAUGGAUAAUUUUUUUAAUAAACAUUAUCAAUUUACUCUUUAAUCUGACAUAUAAGGACUACUUUACCCUUUUAUUUUUAAGUAGAGAGGACAAAAUACAAUUUGACUCUUAAUACAGAAAUCUUCAUAGUACUUUUACUCUAUAAAUUAUAUAUUAACGUGUAAAUAUUUCAUAUAAAUAUGAAAAAUAGGAUACACAUACAUGAAUUGUUAGAUCUAAUAAUAAAAGCAAGUAGUUUAAAAAGGUAUUUAUUUUCCUUUCCAUUUUAAGUAAUUUUUUGUGUUUCCAAAUGAUUGAUGCAUAUCUACUAAUAAUAAUCUAUGAUUAACAUGUUAAGGUAUAUCUAAGAUACGAGUGUCAUAUAUAAAUACCUGAAAAAGAAAAAGAAAGUAAGCUGGGAUCAUUCACCAAUUUUCUUUUAUGUAAGUGAACAGAACAAACAGAGCAGUAGUACAUGUCCGUCAGCCAUUUCCUAGUGCAUGAAUCCGGAGAUGAUAAUCUAGAAUCACAUAAAUAUAAAGAAUUCACUUCUUUUUCUGCAAUUUAUUUAUACAUUUGGAAAUCCAAUUUCAUCUUCUCAAAUGAUAACUUAAAAAUGGUAAAGAGUCAAUAGGGUUAGUUGCGCAAACAAAUGUACUCGCAUGGGAAUCAAGUUCCACAAUUACAAUGAAAGACCUUCCCGUUGAAAGCAAUUUCAAAAGAAACCAUCCUUAGAAUUCAAUGAAUCAUCAAUAUCAUAGUAAGGAAACAUUAUUGUUGCAUGAACUCAAGAUUACCGGAGCCACUGAUUUCAUAUUGCAAAAUCCACAGACUUCAAAUCCUUAUUCUUUCUAUUCCUGUCUCUGAGGUAUCUAUUCUUUUCUUAUUAUAAUACAUUGUUUUGACUAUAUCACACUAUGUAUCAUUUAAUAAUUGAAUAGAUCCCUAUCUUUGAUUUAAAUCGAAUUUGUAAUGGAGGAAUUUCAAAUAUAUUUAGAACUAGAUAGAUCCCGCUGACACGAUUUCCUAUGCCUACUUAUUUGUCGGGAGUAUAUUUAUGCACUUGCUCAUGAGCUUAGUUUAAAAAAAUCGAUGAUUUUUUUUUAAAUCAGGGUUAUGGUAAUAAAUUCAGUUCACUAAUUGUGAAACAUUUAAUUCUUCAAAUAGAUCAACAAAAUCAUUUGAUUAGUUCUGCUAAUGAUUCCAACCAAAAUCUGAUUUUUGGGCACAACAAUUAUUUGUAUUCUCAAAUGAUAGCUGUAGGAUUUGUAGUCCCACUUAUGGGGUCAAAUCCAUACAUUUUGAGAAGAAAUAUUUGAAUAUAAAUCUCAUCGAUCUCAUAAGUAUCAUACCAAAUCCUAUCAAUCGAAUUAUUUUUUUUGAGAAAUACGAGACAUCUACGUCAUACAAGUAAAGAGAUCUAUUCAUUGAUAAGAAAAAUAAAAAACGUGAGCGGUGAUUGGAUUGGUGAGAAAAUAGAAUCAUGGGUUGCGAAUAAUGAUUCAAUUGAUGAUAAAGAAAGAGAAUUCUUGGUUGAGUUCUCCACCUUAACGAAAGAAAAAAAGAUUGAUCAAAUUCUAUUGAGUCUGACUCAUAGUGAUCAUUUAUCAAAGAAUGACUCUGGUUAUCAAAAGAUUGAACAACCGAGACCAAUUUACUUAUGAUACUUAGUUGACAUUCAUAAAAAGUAUCUAAUGAAUUAUGAGUUCAAUACAUCACGUUUAGCAGAAAGGCGGAUAUUCCUUGCUCAUUAUUAGGCAAUCACUUAUUUACAAACUUUAUGUGGGGCUAAUUGUUUUCAUUUACUGUCUUGUGGAAAACCCUUUUCGCUUCGCUUAGCCCUAUCUCCCUCUAGGGGUAUUUUAGUGAUAGGUUCUAUAGGAACCAGACGAUCCUAUUUGGUCAAAUACCUAAUGACAAACUCCUAUGUUCCUUUCAAUACAACAUUUCUUAACAAGUUCCUAGAUAACAAGCUUAAAGGUUUUCUUAUUGAUGAUAUCGAUAUUGAUGCUAGUGACAUUAUUGAUCGUGACCUUGAUACGGAGCUGGAGCUUCUAACUAUAAUGAAUACGUUAACUAUGGAUAUGAUGUUGGAAAUAGACUGAUUUUAUAUCACCCUUCAAUUCAAAUAACUAAAAGCAAUGUCUCCUUGCAUAAUAUGGAUUCCAAACAUUCAUGAUCUAGAUGUGAAUGAGGCGAAUUACUUAUCCCUCGAUUUAUUAGUGAACUAUCUCUCCAAAGAUUGUGAAAGAUGUUCCACUAGAAAUAUUCUUGUUAUUACUUCAACUCAUAUUCCCCAAAAAGUGGAUCCUACUCUAAUAGCCCCGAAUAAAUUAAGGCAAAGAGAGACGAUUUCGCGAGACUUAGCUUGGCAAACAAGUUGAUUAUUCGAGAUGUUCUGUCAUUGUUAUUGGCCCUUCACUUUUAUUACAUCGCUGUGGAUUGCCUCACGAAAUAGAAAUAGAGCUUUUCCAGACAUUUGUAAUUCGCGGUCUAAUUAGACAACAUCUUGCUCCGAACAUAAGAGUUGCUAAGAGUAAAAUUUGGGAAAAAAGAUCGAUUGUAUGGGAAAUACUGCAAGAAGUUAUGUGGAGACAUCAUGUAUUGCUGAAUAGAGUGCUUACUUUGCAUAGAUUAGGUAUACAAGCAUUCCAACCUAUUUUAGUGGAAGGAUGCGCUAUUUGUUUACACCCAUUAGUUUGUAAGGGAUUUAAUGCAGACUUUGCUGGGGAUCAAAAUGACAUUUCAUAUACCUUUAUCUUUAGAGGAACUACUAAGUACUUAUCAUUAAAAGGAACUACAAACAAUCAAUGUAUAAUGCAUAACACUAUAAGUUUAUGUACUCAUAUUACCAUCUUUAAAAAAACUCAAAUAAAGGAAAAAAAUAAAUUGACAAUAAUCACAGCAUUGGAAAAAAUUAAAAAAAAUUCAGAGAUGCAUCGCUUUAAUCAAUUUGCUAAUAUUUACAUCUUAGCUUUGCCAUCAUUAGAAGCCCUAAGAGAUUCUUUACAUCGUAUGCACAAAAAGUCAAGUAUUAAUGGCCUACCUUUCUCUACAUUUUAAAGUCCAAUUUUGCAAACACUCUCCUAACGAGGUUCUUUGAGUUCCCAAUAGAUUUGGUAGUGCCUUUACUUGAUCGGUCUCAUUUAUAUGUCAAAACAUGAUUAGAGACAAAACUAAAACCAUCACCACUUUCAGUGAAAACUGAAAACAUGGUAAAAUAAAAUCACCAAAAGAACAAGCGCACUGAAACUACAACCAUAACAGUUUUUUUUUUUAAACAAUGGAGUAAAACUAAAAACUAAACAAAAUUGUUGAAACAGUGGUGACCGGUAAGUAGCCCAGAGGUGGGUGUGGCUGCCGGCAAGACCAAGUUAUUAACUUUAAAUUAAGAAAAAGUAAGGUGGUAGUUGUAGGCCAUACAGUUUUAUUUGCUUUCGGUGGUGAAGCUCUGAUUAUUCAAUUCAUAAAUUAAUUGAAAAAAAAAAAGGAACAAAUUUGCAGCAAAGUCAAGAAAGUACAAGGAAAAAGAGAAUAGUAUGGUUAGCCCCACUUCACUUUAAAUUAAGAAAAAUAAAGGUAGUAGUCGUAGGCCUUUGCGCCUCCACUACAUAGUGGACUUUCUUUUAAGUGUUGACUGAUGAUUCCAUUCAUAAAUGAAUUGAGAAACGAAAUCACUUGAAACUUGCAAUAAAGUGAAUAAAGUAGAAGAAAAAGAAUAUUGAUAUAUCAACUUAUCACCAUUUUUAUGAUUAUUAUUUCUUUAGAUAUAAGUCUUCUAAACAAUAUAAUCUUUAUUAUAAAUAUGACAUUACAAAUUCAAUAAAUAAAAGUAAACUUGAUAUUAAAAGUUUUAUUUUACUUUUAUCAAUCAACCCAUUUACUCUAUUUCCUAAAUUUUAGAUUUUAUUUUAUGAUAUAUAUAGUCAAAAUUCAAAAAUAACAUAAAAUUUCAUGGAAUCUAGUUUUUCCAGAUUAGCAACCAUUUAUACUAUUCCUAGCUCAGGAAAUUGGUUCUUCAUUUACAAGUUGAGUCUCAAAAUCAAAGUCCUCCACCUAAUGUAUAUUAUGUUGAUGUGAUAUGUCUCUAAAUUAUUGAGUGGAAAUUUUAUCAUGGAUUCAAUCAUUUUCAAUGCUACAAAAUGACAUAAUAGCAAAACCAAAAACUUAUCCUUAAAACAAAACCAAAACCUUAACUCAAAUAUUACAUAUGAAAUAAAUAAUUAAAACAUAAGGUGUGAAAUCAGGUUAUGAGAAAUAAGAAGAGCAUAAUGAAGAAAACUGUCUCAAAAUUUAUAUUAUACAAGUUAUUAACAAAUCAAAAUUUAUAUAAAUAUAUAAGUUUUAUAUAAUUCCCUGUUGGGUCGAGAAUGCAUUAUUAUCUCUAAUUCCCUAUUAAGUCAAGAAUAGUUCUCAAACACCCUAUUGAGUCAAGAACACAAUGUUAUCUCUAAUUCCCUCUUGGGUCAAGAACAUAUCAUUAGCUCCAAUUCUCAGUUGGGUCAUGAGAGUGUAUUGUUGUGGUAAUACACGUUUUCGAACAUGAAAUCAGCUAAUAAAGGUUAAGGUAUAAAGAUCGUAGUUGCUUGUUUGAAACAUGGUUAAUUAAUGUAGAUACAUUGAGGGUGCUUAUAAAUGAUAAUAAAGAAAAUAUAGUGCAUGAGGGUGGACUAUGAUAACAAAAUGCAUUUGUAAAAUGGUAAUAAUACUAAAUAAAAACAAUAAAUAAUUUACUUAAUAAAAGAUAAAGAUAUCCCAUAAAAGAAUAAGCAAUCAUUCAUUUGGAUGCCAACCAGCUUUGCAAUCAAUCGUAUAAAUUAUUCAUGUAACAAGUGGAGAUAGAUUAGGAUCGUUUAGCUCGAAGGCAUCUAAAGAUUACUGUUCAACUUCAUUUAAGUUAAUUAGUCAUUGUGAAUAAUUAGAUGAGUUUGGCAUGUACAUAGAUUUAAAAUAGAUGUUGGAGUCAUUUGAUGAUGUGGUAUCUAUAAUGUUGAGAAAUUGUAGUCUAGGUAUGUAUAUAUGUAUGUAAUGGUACUUAUAUAGGGUUAAGAUCGUAUGCACUGAUCUUUAUACAAUGUUUAUUACAAGUUUCACGUGUUUUUUGCGUGCCAAGUAAACUAAUUUUGAUGAUUGAAUUUGGAAAGGCUAUUAUUAUGUUGGUGGUCAUAUUGUUGGAUGUGUUUUGACAAGCAUAAAUGGUGUUUGGGACAUGAAUUUUGAGUCCUAUAAGUCUUGAAAAUGAAUUGGUAUAUGUUAUCAAAUCAGGUGAAAUCAGGUGAUUUUAGGGAUUGUUCCAACAAACUUAUUUUGAUAUAAGAGAUCAGAUGUAUCGGUACAACUAAGUCAAUCUCCAAAAUUGAACGAUAACAGGAACUUGUAGCGAUACAACUAGGUCAAUCAAUGUCUCCUCCCUUGUUUUAAGUCAUUUUGAUCCUUGGACACCCUGACUUGGUCCUAAACAACUUUGGUCACCUAGAACUCAUAUUAAAAUGUUCUAAAUGAAUUUAAAUGACUUAUAAACAUUUUUAAUCAAGGCAAAUAGUUUUCUAUGAAUGAGUAAAUGUUUGUGUACAAGUUGAUUUUAGAGUAUGUGCUUUUCUCUCUUUACCUACAUUUAGAGACAGAUUAGUAAAAAUAAACAAGACAGAGGAUAUAUGCCAUGUCCACUGCAAACUACUUCGUAGCUAUUACAAUGAAGAAUAUUUUGCCUUUCAUCCAACUCAAGCAACAUGCAGCAUAAAUUUUCCCUAUACAUAAACAAAACAUACCAUAAAUCAUUUUGCAUAAGCACUAUCCGUUGGUCGAAUGCUGACCAGUCAAGCCCUACCAACUUUUAAUUUGAGUAUUUUUUAAGUAGAUAUGUUUGAGUUAUUUAUAUUUUAUAUAAUUUUUCUCUAUUACAUAAACAAAACAUACCAUAAAUCAUUUUGCAUAAGCACUAUCCGUUGGUCGAGUGUUGACCAGUCAAGCCCUACCAACUUUUAAUUUGAGUAUUUUUUUAAGUAGAUAUGUUUGAAUUAUUUAUAUUUUAUAUAAUUUAUAUUAUUUAUAUUUAGGCGAGUAUUGAUUCACAUGUAUAAUUUAUAUUUUUUUUACUUGACAAGGAACCUUAAAAAAUUGUUAUAUAUUUUUAAUUUUAAUAUUUUACGAUAUCUUUAUAAAAUAUUUGUUAACCUCUGACCCUACUUAUGAAAUCUAAAAUUUUUAUUGAUAGUGUACCAAAUAUUAUUUCUUUAUAUAUUAUAAAAGUAAAAUUUCAUAAAUUUAAGAAAAUCAAAAUUUUAUAUAAUUUUUAAAAAUUCAUUUUGAAUUUGAAAUUAAAACUUUUAAUAUUUAUUUUAAAAUUUUGAUAUAAUAUUUUUAAUUUUUAUAAUUAACAUUGUAGAGAAAUAAAUCUUAGUAAACGUAUUUUUUGAAUUUCUACUCCAAAAAUGUGUCAAUUUUUUUAAAGAAUUAUUUAAAACUUGAUUCAAUUCGAAAAAAUUGAAAAAGAAGAUAAUUUGAAAUAAUUUGACUAAUUGAUUGGUGUAAGCCUAAGUUUGAAAUAAUAUUUUUUAUUAGCAAAAGUUGUAAAUUUAUUUUAGUUCAUUUUAUUACAAUUUAUUUAUAUAUCUUUAAAUAAAAAUAAACAAUUAAAGAAUAAAAAAAUAAAUCAAUAAAAUAAUUUAUUUUAAUACACACCUUAAUGUUAAUGGUAAUAAUACUAAAUAAAAACAAUAAAUAAUUUACUUAAUAAAAGAUAAAGAUAUCCCAUAAAAGAAUAAGCAAUCAUUCAUUUGGAUGCCAACCAGCUUUGCAAUCAACCAAACUUACACAUCACACUUUUUGUUUCAUGUCUAUCCAAAUAUGAAUGCAAUACCACCCUCUUCACUUCUUCUUUUCUCACUCACUGCCCCUUCUACAUCAUGACUUCACCCCCAAUUUCAAUGACAGGGAUGUGGGAAAUGUUGGCCCAAUCUUUGCCUUUCUCCUUUUUACAACGUUUCUCCAGCAAAGGACAGUUCCUAAUGUAAAAAAAAGAGAGGGAGGGAGGGAGCAUGUUUGGGGGCAUGGAUUGGAGCUUGGGACAACUGUCGAUAAGCAAUCUGGAAAGAGAGGUGAGGUGUUGAAACCCCUUAUACUCCAAACUCUUUAGAUUUGGAAGUUGAGAGAGCCAGAGAGUUUCAAGAGAAGAGGGAAGCAGAUGUUCAUCUGGAAAACACUCCAUCUCUACUUCUGAAAAUGAGAUCUCGAGAUCUGUAAGAGAAGGGAGUGUAUGCAAACUCCAUUCCCUUUUCCUAAUCAAGCUCUCAAUUAGUUUAUCACUGCUUCCGAUUGUAAUUCUUUUUAAUUUGGAGGGCAAACCCUCUUUUGGAACCCUCUCUAUUUCUGGACAUACAAGUAUUUUCAAAUCCUCAAGGGAUGGAAAGACAGAGUGCAUUUGCUCUGGCAAUGACUUUAAACUAGGGCAACCCAAAAGCGUAAGCCGGGUCAAAUUGGUUACAGCUAAUCCAUCUUCAAUUUGAAAAGAUUUCAAAUUUUGGCACCACUAUAUUUCCAAAGAAUUGAGACAUGUUAGAUGCUGGUGGUGAGAGCCCUCUAAAGCAGCACUAAAAAACUUCAAGUCUUCACAUCCAGAAAUUUCAACAUGCUUUAGCAUAGGAAACGGUCCUAAUGAGAAAGAUUCCAGUUGAUCACACUUUGUACCUUUUAUCUUCAGAGAUUCAAGGGAUGUAUACAAGAAGAUUUUGGAAUGAUUAAAAGCUUUGCACUGCUCGAUCCUCAGUUUUUUCAGUGUAAUAGACACACUAUCCUCAGGAAGGGAUUUGAUAUUAGAACAACCAGAGAUAAUUAACUCGUCGAGAUGAGUGCAGUGUUUCAACAUCUGUUCCAAUAUGGAAUCAUUCAUACUCGAACCUUUGAUGCCCAACUUUCGAAGCCCACAAGGCAAUGGCUCCAAUUGCAGUGCAUCGCAUCUUUCUAACUCAAGUUCACAAAUGCCUGGUGUCCUUGGGAGAAAACAUUCAAGCUUCUCACAAUUUGCAAUCACCAAUUUCUUUAAAGAGGGGAGGUGUUUGGGUAUUGACUUGAUUAGCUUUGGACAAUCCCUGAUGCGUAGCUCUUGCAGAAGGGAGAAAGCUUCAUCACUCCUACACAACCAUUCUUCCCACCCAGCCAUAUUCUCAAACACUAGGAUUUCAAGAGAUCCAAAUGGUUUAGUCGAAGCUUGUCCAUUACUAUAGAACUCCUCGCCAACUAUUACAACUUUCCUGAACCCAGAAAUGGAGAGAGAUUUCAAAGAUGAUAAUUGGCCAAGCGGAGGCAAAGAUAUGCAAAAUUUACAAUCUUGCAACUCCAAAGAUAUCAUAUUUGAGAAGGACAAAUGCCCCACCCAUUCUGGAAAUCUCCUGCCUUUGUAACUUCCGAUAACUAGAUGCUUCAAGUUUGUAUUAGGCUCCAAUUGUUCCAAUACUUCUCUAUCAUGCUUUGAGUCACCAGCAAUAUCAUAAUAUUCAUCCCAUGUCAACUUCAACUCCUUAAGAUUAACCUUAUCCUUCAAAUUGGCAUCUUUGGCAUCCCUGGCAUUUACAACAUUUUUCAGUCUUGAAAUGGCAAGUCUUCCCCGUAAGUGCUUGAGCUUUCCCAACUCAUUAAUGCUUGAGCCAGUUUGAUCACCUAUAACAAAAUCUGUUAAGAUUCGAAUAUCUUUCAACUUACCCAUCCCUUCUGGCAUCCUAGUUAACUUUGUUCCCCUAAUAUCAAGAUAAAGCAUGUUGAUCAAUCUCCCCAUGUCUCUCGGCAACUCAACAAGGUCACUGCAUACAUGCAAUGUCAAUGCUUGCAAAUUAUACACCGUACACAGAGAAUUUGGCAACCUUGUGAUUGAAGUUUUUGAGAGAUUCAAAUUUCGUAGAUGCUUCAAGUUACUAAUUUCUUUUGGCAAUUCUUUGAUAUUUGUAUACCCAGCCAAAGAAAGCACUCGUAAGCUUGAUUUCAUCAACAAAUCAUGCAUUAGCACAUUGCUAACACUACAAUAGGAAGAAGACUUCACAGUUAGGAAAGCACGCAGACAUUUUGCUUUAGGUAAGCUCUGAAAUUUUUGUCGCACAUCAUAAAAUUCUUGGACAUUGGACAAAUGACGGGUCUUUUCAGUUAUUACACAAGAACCACCACUCCCUUCCAAUCUGCAGAUGAAUUCUCCGGUGACAGAUUUAGCCAAGUCACUAAUUAGAUCAUGCAUGACAAAACAAGAUUUCUCUCCUUUUGAUUGUUGAAAAAAGGACCUCAAUCUCAAAUCUUUGAAGUACUCGUUACCCAGUUCUUCUGGAUUUCCAUUAUCUUUCGAAAGCUGUAAAAGUCCUUCAGCCAUCCAUAAUUGAAUAAGUUCUUCCUUUUCGAAUUCGUAAUCUUUAGGAAAAAUUGAACAAUAAGCAAAACAUCGCUUUAAAUGUGAAGGAAGAUAAUGAUAACUUAAUGCUAGCGCUGGAAGAAUAUUACUUGCAGUAUUUGGUAUGUCCCAAAAAUUGCUAUGCAAGAUUUUGUUCCAUUCAUCAGCGUCUAGUUUACAGCGAAGGAGACCUCCAAGUGUUUUUGCAGCCAAAGGAAGGCCGUUACACCUUUUCACGAUUGCUUCACCAAUUGCCUUGAGAUCCGGAUGCGUACUUGGGGUUGUACCAACGAACGCAUGCUUUGCGAAUAACGUCCAACAAUCAUCAUUAGAUAAGGUCUUCAGAGGAUAAGUUGGAAUAGUCCUCAUAAUGUCGGCAACANNNNNNNNNNNNNNNNNNNNNNNNNNNNNNNNNNNNNNNNNNNNNNNNNNNNNNNNNNNNNNNNNNNNNNNNNNNNNNNNNNNNNNNNNNNNNNNNNNNNUUACAAUCGAAUCACGAGUUCACGGUCAAAUUUGAAAGGAAUGCUGAGCUGCUCCCACACAGCAUAGUUUUCAUUCCAAACAUCAUCCAUAAUGAUUAGAUAUUUCUUUCCCAACAGCUGCUCUUUGAGUUUAAGUUGAAACUGAUUUAAGUUCUGGUUUCCAUCACAGCUACAUUUGGUUUCUUCAAGAAUGGUUUUGGUUACCUUGAGAGCAUCAAAUUUCUCUGAAACACACACCCAUGCUUUGGGGUGAAACCAUUUAUCCACUCUGGGGUCAUUGUAGAUCAAUUGGGCAAGGGUGGUUUUUCCAAGCCCGCCCAUACCCACAAUGGGAAUCACAUCUACCUGAUUUUUAGGCAGAUUUUGAGGAUCCAACAACUUCAUUAUUUCUUCUUUUUCAUCAUCUCUACCACAAACAUCAGACUCGUCCACCAAAGAAGUUGCAGGCGUUCUUUGAAAUGCCUUUUCUCCUUCAGAGUUUUCUUUCAGACCCAGAAUCUGUUUUUGGUUCAGUAGGUUGUCUAGUCUCCCAAGGAUCUCCUCUAGCUUUGACUGCGCCCCAUCUUUGAAAGGAUUCAAAGAAGAGAAAAAGCUACUAACCUGCUUCAUAUUAGUAGUUUGAUAUUCUGAUUCAAUCUUGUUCCGAAGAGCUUCAGUAGAGAUCUCGUCCAGGAGGUCCUCGGCAUCAUAAACAGCAUCUUUGAGCUCAUCGGUCCAACUUUUGACAUUUGGGUUGGCAAUCUGCUUAUUUUCAGCAUCAUCCAACACUGCUUUCACCGACAUCAAGGUUGGCUUGAGUUUGUUCAGCAGCACAGCUUCAAGUUUCUUUCCUUUGAUAAGCCUCAGAACAUCGGCAGAAACAAUCCUAUCAAGCAGCACCUCAAUGGAAGCAGAGAGAAAAGCUUCACCCACCAAAGCCAUGUUUUUUUGUGGGGUUUUUUGGUAAAGAAAGGUUUAAAGGAAGAUGAAAAGGGAAGUAAUAACAAAGAAAGGAAAAGAAGAGUGCUUCAACUAAAGAGAAGACACGGUUGCAAAGAUGAAGGAUUUGAAUUUGAAACAGAGAAAGGAACAGUAGAAGGAUUGGAUGAAAGGGGAAGGCUUUAACUCGCAAAUACUUUAGUUUCAAUAAAGAUGAAGCAGCCUCAUCCAAUUUGUGUAUAAAAUUUCUUUAUUGGAAUGUUUGAAAACAUGAUUUUGGGUUGAAAAUUUUAAAUUUUUUUUAUAACGUAUAAAAAGUAUGGAAAAUUAAUGUAUUACACAAAUGAUGAAAUA